This is a non-coding RNA of Cynoglossus semilaevis (tongue sole), 1020 nucleotides long. The record is from RefSeq and is a predicted model, not a curated record. NCBI's taxonomy places the organism in Eukaryota, Metazoa, Chordata, Actinopteri, Pleuronectiformes, Cynoglossidae.
CCGUUCAAGACCCGCCCCGUGAAGGAGGUGAAGGCUAGGCUAGUUCUAACUUCCUAGAUUAAACACAAGGACUGGCUUUCCUGGUAGACUGUGUUUCCCUGGUUGUCAGAAGGUCAUCGUGAAUUGAAGAUAAUGGCAGGUAAUGUGAGGAGAUUUUACAAGAUGACAGCGAAGCUGUUGUCCGGAGAUGUCUUCAGCUUCGAGCGGCUGAGGGGGAAAGUUGUUCUCAUUGAAAAUGUGGCGACUCUCUGAGGAACAACCACCAGGGAUUACACUCAGAUGAACGAGCUCCACAGUCGUUACUCCGACAAGGGACUUGUUGUUCUGGGUGUUCCCUGCAAUCAGUUUGGACAUCAGGAGAAUUCCAAAAACAGUGAAAUCCCUAAACUCCUGAAGUACGUCCGUCCUGGAAAUGGCUUUGAACCUAAGUUUAAUCUCCUUAAGAAGAUGGAGGUCAAUGGAAAAGAUGCAGACCCUCUGUUUGUCUAUCUUAAAGAAAAGCUCCCAUUUCCCAUUGAUGAAUCGAUGGCUCUCAUGAAUGACCCAAAGUCCAUCAUUUGGAGUCCUGUCUGCAGGAAUGACAUCGCCUGGAACUUUGAGAAGUUCUUGGUCGGCCCUGACGGAGAGCCCUACAAACGCUACAGCAGGAUUUUUCUGACCAUUGAUAUUGAGGCAGACAUUAAAGAGUUACUCAAAAAGGUCAAGUAAGUUGUGCAUUAAAAUGGGUUGCAUGACAGUGAUAGGUUAUCAGUUAUGAACAAACGGCUGCUCAGAUUAUCAGUAGACACACUUGGGCAGCAUUUGUUAACUGCACAUUCAACAGAAAAAAAUAUGUUUUAUUAGAUGAAUGUUGUUAUUCCAGCAUCAUACACUAGUUGUAAAAGCUGUUUACUGUAUGACGGAAUUUCUUAAAACAUUUUUUGUGAGAGAAGUUUUUGAUGAAGAUGUAAAUGGCUUUUUCACUGUGUAUAACAUCUUUGUUGGUAAAUAACAGAUUAAUAAACAUUUUCCAUCACUGAA